GAUGAACGCUGGCGGCGUGCCUAAUACAUGCAAGUCGAGCGAACGGACGAGAAGCUUGCUUCUCUGAUGUUAGCGGCGGACGGGUGAGUAACACGUGGAUAACCUACCUAUAAGACUGGGAUAACUUCGGGAAACCGGAGCUAAUACCGGAUAAUAUUUUGAACCGCAUGGUUCAAAAGUGAAAGACGGUCUUGCUGUCACUUAUAGAUGGAUCCGCGCUGCACUAGCUAGUUGGUAAGGUAACGGCUUACCAAGGCAACGAUGCAUAGCCGACCUGAGAGGGUGAUCGGCCACACUGGAACUGAGACACGGUCCAGACUCCUACGGGAGGCAGCAGUAGGGAAUCUUCCGCAAUGGGCGAAAGCCUGACGGAGCAACGCCGCGUGAGUGAUGAAGGUCUUCGGAUCGUAAAACUCUGUUAUUAGGGAAGAACAUAUGCGUAAGUAACUGUGCACAUCUUGACGGUACCUAAUCAGAAAGCCACGGCUAACUACGUG
This 497-nucleotide ribosomal RNA is filed under the name uncultured bacterium. Its description in RNAcentral is "partial 16S ribosomal RNA". It matches the Rfam family "Bacterial small subunit ribosomal RNA", at positions 28 to 507 of the family's 1533-position model. The record is from RNAcentral.